This 486-nucleotide long non-coding RNA is filed under the name Prunus dulcis (almond). Its description in RNAcentral is "sRNA ncRNA". Lineage: Eukaryota; Viridiplantae; Streptophyta; Magnoliopsida; Rosales; Rosaceae. The record is from RNAcentral.
AUGAACGACAAGGUCCUCUUGAACUUUGUCCUGCUUCAAACAAAAGAAUUCCAAAAGAAAAAAAGAACCGUUUUCCUGCAGGAAACAAAAAUGAGCCCUCCUAUCAGAAAUGUUGUUAUGGCACUGCUAGUUGUGCUUUUAAUUACAACUACUGAGGCCGACGUUCAAAUUCCUAGGACCAAAAGAGUCAGAAUCACCAACUCGUUGGCAAGCUACGUGGACAUGAAGGUCCACUGUAAAUCCGGUGAGCAUGACCUAGGGGAGCAGAUAGUUCGUCCAACGGAGAGCUAUGAGUUCCGUUUCAAAACAAAUUUUCUGGGAACCACAUUAUUCUUCUGCAGCUUUCAGUGGGGGAAUGAGUUUCAUUAUUUCGAUGUUUACAAGAACGGUAGGGACGACUGUAGCAAAUGCUUUUGGACUAUUGUUGAAAACGGACCUUGCUUGUAUGGCGUUCAGGGUGUCUGCCAUCAGUGGAACAAAAAUUAG